Long non-coding RNA from Anolis sagrei ordinatus, 2840 nucleotides. RefSeq lists it as uncharacterized. Lineage: Eukaryota; Metazoa; Chordata; Lepidosauria; Squamata; Anolidae. The record is from RefSeq and is a predicted model, not a curated record.
UUCCGUUUCAUGUGAACUCUCCGCGUGCAUGUUCCCCUUUUGGAGCCAGAGGCGCGAGGCGACGAGGAAGGGAGCUUCGGAGGAAGGGGCGCAGGACGGGAGGAAGGAGGGCUCUUCGUUCCUAAGGAAAGCCCAAAGGACGGCGUGGCCCAGGAGCGGAGGCCUUGCCGCCCAGGCCUUGCUUCUCCCAGAUGCUGACCUUGAACCCAGAGACCCGAAGAGGGCGCUCCUGAGAUUGGUUGAGACCAGGCAUGGGUAAACUUCGGCCCUCCAGGUGUUUUGGACUUCAACUCCCACAAUUCCUAACAGCCCCAGGCAGUGGUUCUCAACCUGGGGUCCCCAGAUGUUUUUGGCCUACAACUCCCAGAAAUCCCUGCCAGUUUACCACCUGUUAGGAUUUCUGGGAGUUGAAGGCCAAAAGCAUCUGGGGGAACCAGGUUGAGAACCACUGGAAGGCCACUUAAGCAGCUGAGAGGGAAACGGAAGGGGCCCAAAACACCUGGAGGGCCGAAGUUUGCCCAUGUCUGGUUUAUACAGUUCUUUCUCUCAGUUAGAAUAAUAGAGUUGGAAGAGACCCCUGGGGCCAUCUAGUCCAACCCUUGGUAAUAGUAUGAAAUCUGGGUCCGGAAGCUCUGAGCCUUACGCUGUUGCCGCUUCGCUCCUUCGGGAGCGCUGUUUGCGCAACUCGGAACGGAAAACAGAUAUUAUAGAAGGAAUGUAAGCGUUCUUUAAUAUAUAACCCUAAUCCUAAACCUUACCUUAACUCUAAUUCUAACCCUAAACCUUACCCUAACCCCUUAUCCUAACCCUCCCCUCCUUUCUAUCCUUCCACCAAAUGCAACUAUGAAGUAUAUUCCUGCCCUCAGUGUGCCGCUCUCCCUUUCCCUUAUUCACCACCACCGUUGCGGAAUAUGUGUAAAGCUCGGAGCUUCCAGACCCAGCUAUCAUACUAUCACCCAACCCUCUGCAAUUGCAGGAAAAGCAAAAUAAUUCAAAGACUAAUAAUAAUAAUCACAGUGGCAGUAGUCAUUGAAAACUUUCUUGCUCACUUCCCCUGAGGUACAGCAUCAUUGAAGUGCAUAGAUCCCUGCUCACAGACUCUCAUGUAAAGCCCUGCUCACAGACUCUCAGUUCACCAGAACCCUGAAGCAACUGGCAAUUUUUUUUAAAAAAAAAUACUUGUUUAUUUAGCUGUUUAAUAUACAGUAGAACCAUGUCACAUUGAGUUAAGCUUGUCUUUAUUUGCUUUUAAAUACAGUAUUUCAAUAUUACUAUAAAGUUAAUACAGAGUUUAUGGUAUAGUAUGGGGUACAGUAUUACUUUGGCCUAUUUUUAACAGUAACUCAUAGACAACCGGUGACUACAUUUACCUGCUCUUUACCAAUUGCCUGGGAGUCUACUAUACACAUCAAAAGUCUUGUACCAUAAGAGUAAAACACAUUAAUAUCCAUGCUGAUUUGAAAUAGUCUGGUGUAUUGCUGUUCAAAGGGAACUUGUAGUCUUGUAACGCUCCUUCCUUGGAGGCUUUUAAACAGACUGGAUGGAAAUCUGUCAGAGAUGCUUUAAUUGUGCUUUUUGUGCAUGGCAGGGGGUUGGACUAGAUGGCCCCUAGGGUCUCUUCCAACUCUAUUAUUCUAUUAUUCUAACUGAGAGAAAGAAAUUGGUAGCAUCAAGUGACUUCACUUCUUAGCCCAUGUAUCUGAGAAUGUAGGGUUAGUUUACAAAAGCUGCUGCUACCAACAUUUAUUUUUUGUUGCAAAGGUGCUACAAGAUCCAUUUGACAUGUAGUAGCAAUAGAUUGUAAGUCAAAACUCAUGAUUGUGUAGUAGUGGUUAAGAGUGUUGGAUGGGGGCUUGGAAAGUUGCGCUUUGCAAAAAGGAUGCAAGUUUCAGAAGUCCAGUCCAUUAGGUAAUGGAAAGCAUUAGUUCUGCUCUUUGCUGAGACAUCCCAUGUCUGGGUCUUUUAAAGAAAGGUUAUUGACAGGCAUCUCAAAAAGAGUAACUGUAAAAGGGAAAGCUCACAUUAUUAGGAGGCAAGAUAACAUAGUACUCUUCAAAUAUCUGAAAGUUAUAAUGCAAAAUAUGAAGUAUAUUGACUGUUGGUCUGGGGAGCAGUAUGAGAGCCAGUGUAUGGAAACUGCAGAUGUAGAUUUUGGCAAAACAUUAGAAAUUUCCUAACAGUAAGAGUUAUUUAACAGAGCAACAGAUUGCUUCAAGAGGUAGCCAUACUCCUUUGGUGGAGGUAAACACACUCUCCAUGACAACCUCUCACAGGUUCUCUGGCUAUACCCUACUUUGCAGAAUAGAUGUGUGGCUACAAAUUCCAGCUGUCUUAUAGUUAGUAAUAUCAGGUGACAUCAAAUGCCACUUUCUCAAAAGUGUGCAUAUUUAAACUUAGUCCAGAGCAGUGGGUGAUGGUCCUUCCCUUAGCAAUGGGAAAACAGCAUUUUCCCUCCUGUCACUUCAAAAGAAUGUGUAUAUGUUGGCAUUAUGUAUGCUGUUUUUUAUUUAAAGGAUGAAAAUUUCUGUCAAGUGUGAUUACUGAUUAUAUCUAUGCUGCAACUUGGUUUAUCUAAUUUUGGAGUUAUUUCUAGGGUGAAGCCUCUUUACGUGUGAACACUCCAACCCUACUCUGGGACUGCUGGAUAUCUAGUGAGGUGCAUUCCAUGUCUUUCAGAUCUUCAUGGGGAUAUUCUGGAUCCAUACAGGUAAACACUGAUCAGAGAGCAAGCAUCAGGUACUGCACUGAGAAGACCAUCAUCAUAUUCCUUUGUGAUUUUUUUCUGAUGUAAUUCUGGUUUAUUCAUAGCAAUUUUAUUAAAAUCUAAUACUCAACUAUUA